RNAcentral lists this transfer RNA (73 nucleotides) under Candidatus Zhuqueibacterota bacterium. Its description in RNAcentral is "candidate division KSB1 bacterium (activated sludge metagenome) tRNA-Asn". It matches the Rfam family "tRNA". From Rfam's summary of the family: Transfer RNA (tRNA) molecules are approximately 80 nucleotides in length. The record is from RNAcentral. Lineage: Bacteria; Pseudomonadati.
UCCCGAGUAGCUCAGCCGGCAGAGCAGGUGACUGUUAAUCACCGGGCCGUAGGUUCAAGUCCUACCUCGGGAG